CAUUAGACUUCGGUUGGUUCUAGUUUUGUAUAAUUUAAUACAUAGAUUUUGAUCAGAAUUGGCUUUGUAUGUUUUGUUUCUUCGAGCGAUAACUUCAUAAGUCAUUAUAUUUUAUUUUGAUUCAUCGUAUCAGAAGCAAGACUGCUUUCCCUAAAGUUUUAUACAGUGAAAUCCUUGAUGUUUUACCUAGUUUACUGAGUCCUUACAUUUCAUGCAAAAUAGAGAUUGCUUC
RNAcentral lists this long non-coding RNA (232 nucleotides) under Capsicum annuum. Its description in RNAcentral is "long non-coding RNA (CANN_LNC006511)". The record is from RNAcentral. Lineage: Eukaryota; Viridiplantae; Streptophyta; Magnoliopsida; Solanales; Solanaceae.